GUAAUGAGAGCUAGUGGACUAGAUAACGCCGAGGAACAAAUAAGUGUCCUAGAAGACAGGAUGACAGAAAUCACCCAAUCAGAACUGCAGACAGA
This is a non-coding RNA of Vicugna pacos (alpaca), 95 nucleotides long. Lineage: Eukaryota; Metazoa; Chordata; Mammalia; Artiodactyla; Camelidae. The record is from RefSeq and is a predicted model, not a curated record.